UGUGUUUAAUCAACCAUUCUUCAAGAUUACAAUCGUAUGACUCAUUUACACAUAUAUUCUUCCUUUGAGUAGUCAUCACCGUGGAUUGGAGAAGGAGAAGGAGAGCGAGAGACCCUCUCCAAGCCGGCGGCAGUUAGAAUAACGAUUCGAGAGAGAAGAGUGGAAAGGACUAAGUAAUUGUUUGAUUGAGCCACACUGCCACUGCAGGUUGAUAAACACUGGUGAUGUAGUGACGAGGACUGAUCUUGGAAGAGGAGCUUGAAGACCAACCGAAGAGAGGAGACAAUGAGAAUUGAUGACCAGACAAAAAAGCAAUGAGCGC
This 322-nucleotide unclassified non-coding RNA is filed under the name Hevea brasiliensis (rubber tree). Lineage: Eukaryota; Viridiplantae; Streptophyta; Magnoliopsida; Malpighiales; Euphorbiaceae. The record is from RNAcentral.